This 253-nucleotide ribosomal RNA is filed under the name uncultured bacterium. Its description in RNAcentral is "partial 16S ribosomal RNA". It matches the Rfam family "Bacterial small subunit ribosomal RNA", at positions 524 to 776 of the family's 1533-position model. The record is from RNAcentral.
UACGGGGGGGGCAAGCGUUGUUCGGAAUUACUGGGCGUAAAGGGCUCGUAGGCGGCCAACUAAGUCAUACGUGAAAUCCCUCAGCUUAACUGGGGAACUGCGUGUGAUACUGGAUGGCUUGGAUUUGGGAGAGGGAUGCGGAAUUCCAGGUGUAGAGGUGAAAUUCGUAGAUAUCAGGAGGAACAUCGGUGGCGAAGGCGGCCUCCUGGACACUUACUGACGCUGAGACGCGAAAGCGUGGGGAGCAAACAGG